RNAcentral lists this long non-coding RNA (1203 nucleotides) under Anolis carolinensis (green anole). RNAcentral describes it as "lncRNA (ENSACAG00000044781.1)". The record is from RNAcentral. Lineage: Eukaryota; Metazoa; Chordata; Lepidosauria; Squamata; Anolidae.
GAAUCACCCUGAUGGUUCCUUUCCUUUAUCAGCCUCCAUGAAAUGGUGCCACCUAAGAACAGCAGAUUUCACACCGAGAUUCUCCUCUUCGACAGUGAGAAAACAUGUGGAUUUGCUGCCCACUACUGUCUGCUAAGAAGAAAGGAGGAAAACACUUGCUUGCUAACACAAUAAUCACCUGCUUGCUGAUAUAGUAGAAAGCACAAUUGCUCUGGGUGACCUGGUCUUGGUGAUUCCCAAAUGGCUGUUCUACAUGAUCACAAUGCGUAUUGUAUACCCAAGGAACCAGCCGCACUGAAGGUUCUUGUCACAGAUCUGAAAGACACUGUACACCACCAGAGUUAGCUUCUCCAUAAACUACAGGGAGGAAAAAAAGCCAGGCAGAAAGAACGUCAGAAACUACAGGAAAAGGCAGAUGAGAAAAACUGGGCCCUUCUCUCUGAACUCAGAGAACGCAUCUCACAGCUUGAGGCAGAGAACUGUAACCUGCACUUUGAGAAGAACCAGCUGGAGUCCACAAGCCAACGCUUUCGAAAGGAGUUGGAUGCCCAUGGUGUCACUGUUCUGUCGCUGAGCAGGCAAUUGAGAGGGCAGCAGGAGGCUGAGGCCCACCAUGGGGCCUUCUCUCUCGAAAGCGUCAAGGGCAGUGCCAAGUGACUGAGGUUCUACAUGGGUUGCGAUGGGUACCCCCGCCUCAUAGCCUUUAUGGACUUCCUUCUCGAUAGUGAAGGGGAGCAGGCCAGCCAAGACAAUAGCCUCCGCAGUGCCCUCAGCCCUGAAAAUCAGCUGUUCUUGGUCCUUGUCCGCUUACGCCUGGGACUACUUCUCCAGGACCCGGCCUUCCGUUUCCACAUCUCUGAAUCCACAGCCUCCCGCUAUUGGCUCAGCUGGAUAGAGAUCAUGGAGAGGAGGAUGAGACAGAUUCCAAUUGCCUACAGCCAGCAUUACGUAGACACUUUGAAGCCACAGCGGAUACUCAGCAAUCAAGACAUGCCCUUGGUGGCUCUGGAUUAUGCAGAGCUCCUUUUUGAAGCCCAAGGAAGAAAACAAGGCGAAAGUUAUGGUCCCCGGGGUCCUAGGAUCCGCUACUCUGUAUGUGGGUAUGCUCUGGCUGCUCCCAGUGGCUUUCUAACCUUUGGUGCUGGAGCAGGUGAGGGCUACCCACCUUGCCUCCAUUCCUGCAGGCAAGACCUGUGGAGCUGA